RNAcentral lists this ribosomal RNA (406 nucleotides) under uncultured bacterium. RNAcentral's name for it is "partial 16S ribosomal RNA". It matches the Rfam family "Bacterial small subunit ribosomal RNA", at positions 30 to 526 of the family's 1533-position model. The record is from RNAcentral.
AUUGAACGCUGGCGGCAGGCCUAACACAUGCAAGUCGAACGAGUGGCGGACGGGUGAGUAAUGUCUGGGAAACUGCCCGAUAGAGGGGGAUAACUACUGGAAACGGUAGCUAAUACCGCAUACUAUCGGAUGUGCCCAUAUGGGAUUAGCUAGUAGGUGGGGUAAAGGCUCACCUAGGCGACGAUCCCUAGCUGGUCUGAGAGGAUGACCAGCCACACUGGAACUGAGACACGGUCCAGACUCCUACGGGAGGAAACAGUGGGGAAUAUUGCACAAUGGGCGCAAGCCUGAUGCAGCCAUGCCGCGUGUAUGAAGAAGGCCUUAGGGUUGUAAAGUACUUGCAGCGGGGAGGCGUUACCCGCAGAAGAAGCACCGGCUAACUCCGUGCCAGCAGCCGCGGUAAUAC